Molecule: transfer RNA, 64 nt
Filed under: Cryptopygus antarcticus travei
Lineage: Eukaryota; Metazoa; Arthropoda; Collembola; Entomobryomorpha; Isotomidae
Description: tRNA-Arg
Source: RNAcentral
UAAUAAGAAGUGAAACAUUGCAGUCAGUUUCGACCUGGAAGAUGGAAUUAAAUUCCCUUGUUUU